Molecule: ribosomal RNA, 653 nt
Filed under: uncultured Eubacteriales bacterium
Lineage: Bacteria; Bacillati; Bacillota; Clostridia; Eubacteriales
Description: bacterial SSU rRNA
Rfam family: Bacterial small subunit ribosomal RNA
Source: RNAcentral
AACUUAAACGAUUUCUUCGGAAUGAAUUUAAGCGGAUUAGUGGCGGACGGGUGAGUAACGCGUGAGUAACCUGCCUUACACAAGGGGAUAGCCUCUGGAAACGGAGAAUAAUACCCUAUAACACCAUCAAAUCGCAUGAAGUGAUGGUCAAAGUGUUGGCGGUGUAAGAUGGACUUGCGUCUGAUUAGCUAGUUGGUGAGAAAAAAGCCCACCAAGGCAACGAUCAGUAGCCGGCUUGAGAGAGUGUACGGCCACAUUGGGACUGAGACACGGCCCAGACUCCUACGGGAGGCAGCAGUGGGGAAUUUUGCACAAUGGGGGAAACCCUGAUGCAGCGACGCCGCGUGAUUUAGAAGGCCUUCGGGUUGUAAAAAUCUUUUGUAUAGGAAGAAAAUGACAGUACUAUACGAAUAAGGUCCGGCUAAUUACGUGCCAGCAGCCGCGGUAAUACGUAAGGACCGAGCGUUGUCCGGAAUCAUUGGGCGUAAAGGGUACGUAGGCGGGUUUUUAAGUUAGAAGUCAAAGGCUAUAGCUCAACUAUAGUAAGCUUCUAAAACUGGAAACCUUGAGAGAUGGAAGGGAAAGUGGAAUUCCUAGUGUAGCGGUGGAAUGCGCAGAUAUUAGAAGGAAUACCGGUGGCGAAGGCGACUUUC